This 593-nucleotide ribosomal RNA is filed under the name uncultured Acidobacteriota bacterium. RNAcentral describes it as "bacterial SSU rRNA". It matches the Rfam family "Bacterial small subunit ribosomal RNA", at positions 889 to 1482 of the family's 1533-position model. The record is from RNAcentral. Lineage: Bacteria; Pseudomonadati; Acidobacteriota.
CAAGGUUAAAACUCAAAUGAAUUGACGGGGGCCCGCACAAGCGGUGGAGCAUGUGGUUUAAUUCGAUGCAACGCGAAGAACCUUACCUACUCUUGACAUCCAGAGAACUUUCCAGAGAUGGAUUGGUGCCUUCGGGAACUCUGAGACAGGUGCUGCAUGGCUGUCGUCAGCUCGUGUUGUGAAAUGUUGGGUUAAGUCCCGCAACGAGCGCAACCCUUAUCCUUUGUUGCCAGCGGUUCGGCCGGGAACUCAAAGGAGACUGCCAGUGAUAAACUGGAGGAAGGUGGGGAUGACGUCAAGUCAUCAUGGCCCUUACGAGUAGGGCUACACACGUGCUACAAUGGCAUAUACAAAGAGAAGCGACCUCGCGAGAGCAAGCGGACCUCAUAAAGUAUGUCGUAGUCCGGAUUGGAGUCUGCAACUCGACUCCAUGAAGUCGGAAACGCUAGUAAUCGUAGAUCAGAAUGCUACGGUGAAUACGUUCCCGGGCCUUGUACACACCGCCCGUCACACCAUGGGAGUGGGUUGCAAAAGAAGUAGGUAGCUUAACCUUCGGGAGGGCGCUUACCACUUUGUGAUUCAUGACUGGGGUG